This 277-nucleotide long non-coding RNA is filed under the name Mytilus galloprovincialis (Mediterranean mussel). The record is from RNAcentral. Lineage: Eukaryota; Metazoa; Mollusca; Bivalvia; Mytilida; Mytilidae.
AUAUGGAUGCUCAUGUAAGAAGAGUUACACUGGAGGUAAAACCAUCAAACGUUUAUUUCAGCCCAAGAAUAUAUAGAGAAUCGAUUCGAAGAUAGAGAAUUGAUUGGAAAUAAACUUGAUAAGUUGGUUGCUGGUGUAGGAGAAUAUUUCUGAUGUAAGAACAAUACGUGUGAAAUAUGUUCAUGGAAAAUGGUAUACAUUAGAUAACAGAAGACUGUGGGUGUUCAGAAAUUAUGAGAAAAUAAGACUUCAGAAACAAAUACACUUUUAUAUACCA